GAAAGUAAAUAAGGGCGUAUGGGGAAUGCCUAGGCUCUUGGAGGCGAAGAAAGACGUGGUAAGCUGCGAAAAGCUCCGGGGAUUUGCAAACAAGAUUUGAUCCGGAGAUUUCUGAAUGGGACAACCCGUCAGGUAGAAGACCUGACACAUCGUAAGAUGGGCCAACCCUCUGAACUGAAACAUCUUAGUAGGAGGAGGAAAAGAAAGAAACAUCGAUUUCCUGAGUAGCGGCGAGCGAAAGGGAAAAAGCCUAAACCGGUAUUGUUACGGCAAUGCCGGGGUUGUAGGACUGCAACAUUCAAGUAACAAUGAACUGGAACGAUCUGGAAAGUUCGUCCAUAGAGGGUGAAAGGCCCGUACAGGUAAGUUCGUUAUGCGAUAGCAGUAUCCUGAGUAGGGCGGGACACGAGGAAUCCUGUCUGAAUCCGCCGGGACCACCCGGUAAGGCUAAAUACUCCCAAGAGACCGAUAGUGAACCAGUACCGUGAGGGAAAGGUGAAAAGAACCCCGAACAGGGGAGUGAAAUAGAACCUGAAACCAUACGCUUACAACCGGUCGGAGCAGCUUCGUGCUGUGACGGCGUGCCUAUUGAAUAAUGAGCCUACGAGUUACUAAUCACUGGCGAGGUUAAGUGCACGGAUGCACGGAGCCGAAGCGAAAGCGAGUCUGAACAGGGCGGCUAGUCAGUGGUUGUAGACGCGAAACCUUGCGAUCUACCCUUGAGCAGGUUGAAGGUUGGGUAAAACCAACUGGAGGACCGAACGAAUAAGCGUUGAAAAGCUUCUCGAUGACUUGAGGGUAGGGGUGAAAGGCUAAUCAAGCUGGGAAAUAGCUCGUACUCCCCGAAAUGCCUUUAGGGGCAGCGUUGUAAUUAAGAGUCUACUGGAGGUAGAGCUACUGAUUGGAUGCGGGGGCUUCACCGCCUACCAAAUCCUGACAAACUCCGAAUGCCAGUAGUAUGAUUUACAGCAGUGAGCGACCGGGUGCUAAUGUCCGGUUACGAGAGUGGAACAACACAGACCAGCAACUAAGGUCCCGAAGAGUAUACUAAGUUGAUCUAACGAUGUUUUGCUGCAGAGACAGCUAGGAUGUUAGCUUGGAAGCAGCUAUUCAUUCAAAGAGUGCGUAACAGCUCACUAGUCGAGCGGCAAAGCGUGGAUAAUAAACGGGCAUCAAGUAUACCACCGAAGUUCUGGGCACGAGAGUGCGGUAGGGGAGCAUUCCAUUGACGUCGAAGCCAUUCCGCGAGGAUAGGUGGAGUUUAUGGAAAAGCAAAUGUAGGCAUGAGUAACGAUAAUGCGGGAGAGUAACCCGCACACCGCAAGACCAAGGUUUCCUGAUCAACGCUAAUCGGAUCAGGGUUAGUCGGGUCCUAAGGGUAAGCCGAACGGUGAUCUCGAUGGACAAUCGGUUAAUAUUCCGAUACUAACAUAUACCUCGAUGGAGAGACGAAGGAACGUAAGUGACGCCGCCUGACGGAAUAGGUGGUUAAAGGGCGUAGGUAUAGGGACAGAUUAAGAGUUAGUCCUUGCUGAAACCCGACAGUACGGAGCGGCUACGGCCAAUCUGAUAGUUCACCCAAGUCGACUUCCGAGAAAAUCUUCUAAGUUAUAGUAUAUGUUACCCGUACCGUAAACCGACACAGGUGGUCGAGGAGAGUAUCCUAAGGUGCUCGAGUGAAUCACGGUUAAGGAACUAGGCAAAUUAACCCCGUAACUUCGGGAAAAGGGGUCCCUACGCGAGUAGGGCGCAGCGAAGAGGUCCAGGCGACUGUUUAUCAAAAACACAGGGCUCUGCAAAUUCGAAAGAAGACGUAUAGGGCCUGACACCUGCCCGGUGCUGGAAGGUUAAGAGGGGAUGUCAUCGCAAGAGAAGCAUUGAAUCGAAGCCCCAGUAAACGGCGGCCGUAACUAUAACGGUCCUAAGGUAGCGAAAUUCCUUGUCGGGUAAGUUCCGACCUGCACGAAUGGUGUAACGAUCUGGACACUGUCUCAACCGUGAGCUCGGUGAAAUUGUAGUCCCGGUGAUGAUGCCGGGUACCCGCAACGGGACGAAAAGACCCCGUGAACCUUUACUAUAGCUUAACGCUGAAUUUGGGUACACAAUGUGUAGGAUAGGCCGGAGACAUUGAAGCGGGUACGCCAGUAUUCGUGGAGUCAACGUUGAAAUACGGCCCUUUGUGUACUUGGAUUCUAACCCUUGAUAGGGGACACCGUUUGGUGGGUAGUUUGACUGGGGUGGUCGCCUCCAAAAGCGUAACGGAGGCUU
RNAcentral lists this ribosomal RNA (2268 nucleotides) under human gut metagenome. Its description in RNAcentral is "bacterial LSU rRNA". It matches the Rfam family "Bacterial large subunit ribosomal RNA", at positions 1 to 2309 of the family's 2925-position model. The record is from RNAcentral.